Molecule: ribosomal RNA, 189 nt
Filed under: uncultured bacterium
Lineage: Bacteria
Description: partial 16S ribosomal RNA
Rfam family: Bacterial small subunit ribosomal RNA
Source: RNAcentral
ACUCGCCUGCAUGAAGUCGGAAUUGCUAGUAAUCGCGGAUCAGCAUGCCGCGGUGAAUACGUUCCCGGGCCUUGUACACACCGCCCGUCACACCAUGGGAGUCGGUAACACCCGAAGCCGAUAGUCUAACGAAAGAGGACGUCGUCGAAGGUGGGAUUGAUGACUGGGGUGAAGUCGUAACAAGGUAAC